GGUCGCGUGGCCCAAUGGCAAGGCGUUUGACUACGAUUCACUGUACAUCAAAAGAUUGUGGGUUCGAUCCCCACCGUGACCU
Molecule: non-coding RNA, 82 nt
Organism: Emericellopsis atlantica
Lineage: Eukaryota; Fungi; Ascomycota; Sordariomycetes; Hypocreales; Bionectriaceae
Source: the annotation of a RefSeq genome assembly